Molecule: long non-coding RNA, 2276 nt
Organism: Dreissena polymorpha
Lineage: Eukaryota; Metazoa; Mollusca; Bivalvia; Myida; Dreissenidae
Exons: 3
Source: RefSeq, a predicted model, not a curated record
UGAGGGUGUAUUUUCUAUUGUGUGGGGCUUUUGUCGAAAUUAGGAUUCCGAAACGCGUUUUUCUACGGUGGGUUCAUUCGACAGCGAUUUACUUUCUUAGAUGUUGCGAGACGGUAUGUUUUUGAUUGCAAUUAUUGGAAGAUGACAGAUCCAUCUUUAAAAUGAUACCAGGUUCGGAAAAAUUGAUACGUCGGAAAGGCAAGAAAAAUGCUGUGAAAGUUGUCAGUUUUAUAAUGGGACCCUAUGGGAAUCGGAAUUAGUGUAAUAUAACCUUUAAAAAGCGCAUUUACUGCAAUGUCAAGGUCACAUGGAUUCGUCUGCAAGCGAGACAAGUAGAAAAUGAAUUUUAAUGAAUGUUUUGAUGAUUUGGGUGCUAAAAUAGAUGAGAGAUGUCAAUAUUUUGGUCCAAAUGGGUGUUUUAGGUGGUUUUGGACUGUUCCGGAUGGGUGGGGGACCUGGUAUGGACAAGUAAGGGUAACAUUUCCAACAAAUCUUAAAUGUAAAUAUUAUUAUGUCCCUAGAUUGAAGUUUCAGGUGGAGAGCAAGAUGAAAAAUAUGCCAAAUUACAUGCAUGCAGCCCAUUUAUGCCAUUUUUCUCUUUGUUUGUAGGCCUGACCGUUUGUCCUUGAGCCGUCGAUGGUCAACAAUCCGCUAGCUGUCUUGCUCUGACUGGUGCACUGGACAUGAUUUCAAUAGUUAGCCAGACCAUGAUUGAGCUUAAGGAUUGUGCUGCGGAUGCAGCCUGUGCAGUUCCGGGAGAAAGUCACUGUCUUGGGCAAUGCGGUCUGGUAUCAGGUCUGGAUGAUCCUUGCCUGACUGCGGGUUUGUGUACACCUCAAUCCGACUCUGUGUCCUGAACAGAGGCCGCAGUGGUGCAGCGCUUGUGGACGUUCCAUCAACAUCCUGAAAGGUCAACACUACACCCAGCUGGGAAAAUUGAUCCUGAUAGUCAUCCCCAGGUAGUGGAAUGAAUGUACACUGAACUACAGAGGAAUCACACCCAAAUGACUUUCCUGCCACGACAUUAGUGUGGCCACUCGCGUAGGAAUUCCUUAGCAAACGUGCUCUUUUGCAUGGUGACUGUGGGCAUUUUUGCAAAACUUACGCUUCCAACACUGGAUUUUAAAGAGAAUACUUAAUAAAAUGUCGCUAACAGGACUUAUUUAUAUGAGAGAGACUAUCUGGAUGCGCAUUAAGUGUCACUUUGUGUCGUUAGCUGUUGAAGGAGCGCUUUGCGCCUUUUUAAGUGUUAAUUUUGGGUAGCCGGCUUGUAUCGGCUUGAAAGCUGCAAAUUAUGCCUCUCAUCAUAAUAGCAUUAAUUUUUGUAAUUGCAAUGUGUAUGUUUAGAUUGUAAGUGAAGCUUUUAAUAAUAAUUUUCUUAAAAAACAUGAUUUUAUAUGCUGUCAGUGAGUUUUUUAUUGAAAAAAAUGCUUAAAAUUAAAAAAAAGUCUCCUAUUUCAUCAAGAAAAGUACACUGAUUCACAAUCAAUACAUUUAUUUGGGCCUUUUGCUGAUAUAUUGGUGAAUUUCGCAUGCAAUGAUACCAGUUUUUGCCAUAAAAGUUACGCGUAACAAUAAUUGGAGACACAAAAUCAGCUGUCGUCACUUAGACUAAAAAUCAUGCAUUCCGACUUGACUGCGGUCAAUUUAGUCACCGCUUUAAAUGGCCAUUUUAAGGCCUUUACCCCCAUCCGAAUGCACUGAAAUUGCAUAUUCAUUGUGGAAAUAGUUGAAAUCUCAUGUGGAGAAAGUUUGAAAAAGAUGGGACAAAGUUGAGUUCCCUUAAAGGUUACAUUACACUAAAUCAUUGUGUAUCCCUCCGUGGUCCGUUCGAAAGUAGUGCCUAUUUCUAAAGAGUUCCUUUUCUCUUCUUGAAUAUAAGCCAUUUAACAAUGCGAGACAUGUCUUUUGUGGUUAUUUGUAAUAUCCUGUAUGUGUCUGGAGUACUUUGAUGCCUUGGAUUGGAAGCUAACUUAAAAGAUGAACUUUUGAGGGUGUGUUUUCUAUUGUGUGGGGCUUUUGUCGAAAUUAGGAUUCCGAAACGCGUUUUUCUACGGUGGGUUCAUUCGACAGCGAUUUACUUUCUUAGAAGUUGCGAGACGGUAUGUUUUUGAUUGCAAUUAUUGGAAGAUGACAGAUCCAUCUUUAAAAAGAUACCAGGUUCGGAAAAAUUGAUACGUCGGAAAGGCAAGAAAAAUGCUGUGAAAGUUGUCAGUUUUAUAAUGGGACCCUAUGGGAAUCGGAAUUAGUGUAAUAUAACCUACAGAUGUAUCGAC